GAGUUUGAUCCUGGCUCAGGACGAACGCUGGCGGCGUGCUUAACACAUGCAAGUCGAACGGAAAGGCCCUUCGGGGUGCUCGAGUGGCGAACGGGUGAGUAACACGUGGGUGAUCUGCCCUGCACUUUGGGGUAAGCCUGGGAAACUGGGUCUAAUACCGGAUAGGACUACGGCCUGCAUGGGUUGUGGUGGAAAGCUUUUGCGGUGUGGGAUGGGCCCGCGGCCUAUCAGCUUGUUGGUGGGGUGAUGGCCUACCAAGGCGACGACGGGUAGCCGGCCUGAGAGGGUGACCGGCCACACUGGGACUGAGAUACGGCCCAGACUCCUACGGGAGGCAGCAGUGGGGAAUAUUGCACAAUGGGCGCAAGCCUGAUGCAGCGACGCCGCGUGAGGGAUGACGGCC
RNAcentral lists this ribosomal RNA (403 nucleotides) under uncultured Actinomycetes bacterium. RNAcentral's name for it is "bacterial SSU rRNA". It matches the Rfam family "Bacterial small subunit ribosomal RNA", at positions 9 to 416 of the family's 1533-position model. The record is from RNAcentral. Lineage: Bacteria; Bacillati; Actinomycetota; Actinomycetes.